RNAcentral lists this ribosomal RNA (774 nucleotides) under uncultured Neocallimastigales. Its description in RNAcentral is "partial large subunit ribosomal RNA". It matches the Rfam family "Eukaryotic large subunit ribosomal RNA", at positions 24 to 649 of the family's 3401-position model. Lineage: Eukaryota; Fungi; Neocallimastigomycota; Neocallimastigomycetes; Neocallimastigales. The record is from RNAcentral.
UAUGUGAUCGUCUCUCGCAUAUCAAUAAGCGGAGGAAAAGAAACUAACAAGGAUUCCCCUAGUAACGGCGAGUGAAGCGGGAAGAGCUCAAAUUUGAAAUCUUAAAGGGUUUCCCUUUACGAAUUGUAGUUUAAAGAAGUGUUUUCUGUUGAGGUUUUGGUAAAAGUUCUUUGGAAUAGGACAUCAUAGAGGGUGAGAAUCCCGUAUUUGACCCUUACUUUCAACUUUGUGAUACACUUUCAAAGAGUCGGAUUGUUUGGGAAUGCAGUCCAAAAUGGGUGGUAAAUUUCAUCUAAAGCUAAAUAUUGGCGAGAGACCGAUAGCGAACAAGUACCGUGAGGGAAAGAUGAAAAGAACUUUGAAAAGAGAGUUAAACAGUACGUGAAAUUGUCAAAAGGGAAGCGUUUGACACCAGUGUUGUUUUUCUGAAAAUCAAUUAAAGAACUGUUUAUGCUAAGUUGUUUAGACUUUAUCAGCUAUCUGUUUAGUUUUGAGCUUUUCUUUAAUGCACUUUUCAGUUAACAAGUCAACAUCAAUUUCUUUUGCUGUAAAAAAGCUUGAGGAAGGUGGCUUGAGAUUCGUCUUAAGUGUUUAUAGCCUCUUGCCUAUGCAGUCGGAGAGAUUGAGGUCUGCAGCGUAGAUCCUUCGGGGCUAAAUGCAUUUGUGCUAAGUUAUAGCAUUUUAUAGACAACUUGUUGACUAUGAUUUGUCUUGUAGCUUACUCGCUUAUGUUAUUUUACCUACGCUUAGGAUGUUGAGUAGCGACAUACGCAC